UGGGGAAUAUUGCACAAUGGGCGCAAGCCUGAUGCAGCCAUGCCGCGUGUAUGAAGAAGGCCUUCGGGUUGUAAAGUACUUUCAGCGGGGAGGAAGGGAGUAAAGUUAAUACCUUUGCUCAUUGACGUUACCCGCAGAAGAAGCACCGGCCAACUCCGUGCCAGCAGCCGCGGUAAUACGGAGGGUGCAAGCGUUAAUCGGAAUUACUGGGCGUAAAGCGCACGCAGGCGGUUUGUUAAGUCAGAUGUGAAAUCCCCGGGCUCAACCUGGGAACUGCAUCUGAUACUGGCAAGCUUGAGUCUCGUAGAGGGGGGUAGAAUUCCAGGUGUAGCGGUGAAAUGCGUAGAGAUCUGGAGGAAUACCGGUGGCGAAGGCGGCCCCCUGGACGAAGACUGACGCUCAGGUGCGAAAGCGUGGGGAGCAAACAGG
This 429-nucleotide ribosomal RNA is filed under the name Chloroflexota bacterium. RNAcentral describes it as "Chloroflexi bacterium partial 16S ribosomal RNA". It matches the Rfam family "Bacterial small subunit ribosomal RNA", at positions 355 to 776 of the family's 1533-position model. The record is from RNAcentral. Lineage: Bacteria; Bacillati; Chloroflexota.